CUUACUAGGUGUGGUAAAAGGACAAACACAACACACAUAUAUACUUGAGAGAUAUUUAAUAAUGAUUAUAGUUUUAUUUUAUUUUUGUUAAGCUAAAAAUAUUCUCGGUGCGUAACUUUAUAGACUAAUAUUUUUGAGGUAACAAAGAUUUAUUUAGAGGGUUGACAUGUCCCAAUUUUUUUCUCAUGCACAUGUGUUAGAGAUCGAACCCUAGAUCAAAUGAUUAAGAAACACAAAAUAUCUAUUUGUGUCACAUUAUGUUAGCAAUCAUGAUUAUAAUUUUAUGAACGGUUUUUACAUCAAGGGCUAAAAAUAUUUUUUUAUUAUUAGUACAACAUAAACUUUAUACACUAUAAAGAGAUCAAAUUAUAUUCUAUUUUAUACAUGAAAAGAGGAAAAAAUAUGGCUAACAUUCUCAAGAUUGUUUGUGCUAUGAUUCUAUUUCUUUCAUUGUUUCUUGUUGCAACGGAAGCUGGUGGUCGUAGUAAGCCAUUUUUUACCCUUUUUAAAUUUUAAUCUUUACUUUGUACUGUAGUUCGUACAUAAUCAUUUACAAUUUUUUUGGUAAAAUUACUUAUAUUAUCUCUUUUUAUUACAGAAUAUUAUAAAUGUGGAACCGAUGCCGAUUGUCCGGAUAUGUGGAGCGAGUUUUUUGUUCAAAAGUGCGUUGAUCACAAAUGUAAAUGGUUGUGGAAAUAGAGUUAGAGACAUAAUUUUUAAAGAUGGUUUAGUAGGCUUAAAAUAAGCAAUUUUGACCCCCCAAAUUUUGCAAUUUAGCGAUUUUAGCCCUUCAAAUUUAAAAUAAGCAAUUUUAACCCGUCAUCUUUAUCUCAUUUUUCAUUUUAUAGUCCCUCAUGCAUUUUGACAAAUUUUGACAUAAAACACUAACAUGACUAGUUUUUAAUGAAAUGACAUCUCAAUGUGUUUGUCAAUGUGAAAAUAACAUCUUNN
Molecule: long non-coding RNA, 951 nt
Filed under: Trifolium pratense (red clover)
Lineage: Eukaryota; Viridiplantae; Streptophyta; Magnoliopsida; Fabales; Fabaceae
Description: long non-coding RNA (TPRA_LNC003930)
Source: RNAcentral